GCAAGUCGAGCGAAUCGAUGGGAGCUUGCUCCCUGAGAUUAGCGGCGGACGGGUGAGUAACACGUGGGCAACCUGCCUAUAAGACUGGGAUAACUUCGGGAAACCGGAGCUAAUACCGGAUACGUUCUUUUCUCGCAUGAGAGAAGAUGGAAAGACGGUUUCGGCUGUCACUUAUAGAUGGGCCCGCGGCGCAUUAGCUAGUUGGUGAGGUAAUGGCUCACCAAGGCGACGAUGCGUAGCCGACCUGAGAGGGUGAUCGGCCACACUGGGACUGAGACACGGCCCAGACUCCUACGGGAGGCAGCAGUAGGGAAUCUUCCGCAAUGGACGAAAGUCUGACGGAGCAACGCCGCGUGAACGAAGAAGGCCUUCGGGUCGUAAAGUUCUGUUGUUAGGGAAGAAC
Molecule: ribosomal RNA, 403 nt
Filed under: Bacillus sp. 030-2.2-LH-H16(s)-07
Lineage: Bacteria; Bacillati; Bacillota; Bacilli; Caryophanales; Bacillaceae
Description: bacterial SSU rRNA
Rfam family: Bacterial small subunit ribosomal RNA
Source: RNAcentral